This is a long non-coding RNA of Marmota monax (woodchuck), 3916 nucleotides long. RefSeq lists it as uncharacterized. The record is from RefSeq and is a predicted model, not a curated record. Lineage: Eukaryota; Metazoa; Chordata; Mammalia; Rodentia; Sciuridae. The transcript has 2 exons.
GGAGGAGGAGCGGUGGCAGGGGAGGCAGAGGCUGCAUACCAGGCUGUAUCCUGUGGAGAUAAGCAGAGCCCUGAAGUCAUCGGAGUCCAUGCUGCCUGUCUGCUUCUGCUCCCAGGACGCAGGCAUAGCAGAGGAGGCCAGGCCCAGAGGAGGCAAGAAGGGCCGCCCCAUGUGCACAGCGGGCAGACAGGACAGUGGCGGGAGCGGGGAGACAGGAGGCCAGAGAGACCAGGAAAUCCAGGUCCCAGCGAGGAGCACCUGCAUGGAUCCUCAGCCCUGCAGCGCUGAGCAGUGAUGCUCAAACCAGCCCGAGACCCCUAAUUGGACUGAGGAGGCGUCCUGACUGCUGCAGGGGCGCAGGGCACUGCGGGCCAGCCCCUUCUCUGGUUCAGAGGACAAGCUCUGGUCUCGGGCACGGGAGCUGGCAGGUCUGCCCGGGACUCCGGGCUGAUGCAGGGCAGGGCUUGAUGCCAAACGCCUGUGGCGGAGGGGACGCCUAGCCAGGCAGGGGUAUGUGGAGGCUCCUGGACCAGCCGGGCCCGGGCCCAGGACUAAGCUAACUUCUAAACUCCUUAGGUGAAGGCCAGACCCAGUCAUUCCCAGGGACAGGGCUCUGGUGGGCCAUCGCACCCACGCCCCUCAGAAAACCACUGCCCAGGGUUUCCUGGAGCCUUGGAGAGGGCACUGAAAGACGUGCCCAGAAAGGAAACCCAUAGGCAGACACCCCAGCAGCCCUGGAGGAGGAGCAUGUGGAGCAAGACAGCAGGGGACGGCUCAGCCUGAGCGCGGGACGUGGGUGCUGUAACCUCUCCUUGCUGUGGCCAGGGGUUCUAGGACAAGGGAAAUGCAAACCUUCGCUGGCCCGAGCAUUCCCUGGGCAGGAAAGCUGCUGCGUACAGGCCUGUCUGGGAGAGUGGCUGAAGACACGUUUAUUGAACAAACAUACGGACUGAACGCCAGCCUCCUUCCCCAGGAGACAGCAGCAGCCAUCACGCCCUCCUCCUAGGUACCACUUUUAUGAGGCACAGGAGAGGGGCCUGCACCCCCCGUCCCUGCCUGGCCAGCUUCCUGGCCUUGCCAUGUGUCCCUGGCAGAGAGGACCAGGGGAUCGCUGUGGAUCUGGCACUGCUGUUGGAGAAGGGCAGGCUGAGCUCAUGUGAAGGGCACGAGCUGGCCACAGCCAGGGACAGCUGAGGUGGGCACAGGCCUGUGGGUCAUGUGGAGCUGCCAUGGGAACCUCUUGGGACAGGGGUGGGGUGGCCUGCCCACACAGCAGGGUGGACAGUGGCUAGCAGAGGUCCCAGAGGCUGGAUGGAGAUUCUGUGAGGAGUGAGGGGCAGAAGAGCCAAGGACCACACCAGGCGAGAAGGGGGAUCAGCUGGGCCAUGGUGGCAGGAGGGCCAGGAGGGCCAGCAGGGCCAGGAGGCAGUAUGGGCCACGAGCAGGAGCGAGGAGCCUGGAGGGCUUUUGUGUUUGUCCCCCACAUUCCCACCGGCACCAGAGCUGGGGCUGAACCCAGGGCCCCCGUGAACCCCGCCCCUGGCCUGUGCUUGCUUUCUUCUCUGGCUUUCCCAGGACUGAUAGUUUUCUGGCCCCUGGAAUCUGGAAUCUCAACCAUGGUGUGGGUCCCGACCGAGGGCCAGGGACGUGAUGGAAUUCUACAUCCCGAGCCAAGGCACAGGCAGCUCCGAGGCCGCCGGGAAACAGGAGGCGACACGAAUUCCCUCCAAGUGGACCCAUCUUGCAGGGGUCCAGGCCCCUGGCAGGAGGCCCUGAAGCAGGGCAAGGAGGGGCUCCAGCGAGCGCCACUGCAGGUCCCGCAGCAGAGCCAGAGGCAGCUGGGAACACGCGAGCUCUUCAGCAUGCGGCACCAGCAGUGUGAGACGGGGGCAGACUGUCCCAACAUGGUGCCAGGGACAGGAGAGCCCUGUCCAUAUGCCUGACCUGGAUGGGGAUGGGAACUGCCUCAGAGAAGCCACGGCACAGCUAUACAGUCACUUCCCUAAAAGCAGGACAGGGCUUGGCUGCAUUCCUGGAUGACUGACCCUUCAUGACCCAGGAAGAGGCCUGUAAUAAUCUCUGAGGCCAGCGCAGGUUGGGCAAGAAGGAAGACAUGGCCCCAGGUGCGCCCUGCUGCCUGGGGCUGGACGAGUCCCAAAGCAGCUUUAGACAAGACAGGAAAGGGGCUGGACACACAGACCCUGCACAGCAGGGGGUCCGGGGGUGCGUGCGUGUGUGCACAUCUGAGCAGGAACGGGGAAGAGGGCCGUACCGUCAGUCCAGGCCUCGUGGAUGGAGGCCUUUUGCCGGAACUUCUCUGCCAGGUGGUCGAGCCGCUCCAGCCUGCGGAUCUCAUUCAGCAGCCACUCCUCAUAGCCCUUCUCCGCCUGCUCCAGGUGCUGCCAGCCAUUGUUGAUGUCCUGUGGGGGCAGGAGAGGGCAGGGCUGUCAUAGGAGGCUGCAGAAGGUCAGCGGCGGGGCCACAGUCCUGCCCGACCCCGCUUUGCCGUGUGCAGGUGCCAAGAGCCCAGCACACUCGGUCCCUGGGUUCCUCUGCAUUAACUGAAUGAGUCUGUGAACUGGAGAGCGAGUGAAUGGAUGGACAGACAGAGGGAUGCUGUGGGUGAGGUUAUGGAGCCAGAGGUGACCCCCGAUCCUAGGGUUACAGCAGCCUAGGGGUCCAAAUUCAAACUUCCACACACACCACUCAAGUGUGACACCAGGGAGUGUCCCUCAGCCAGCCAGCCCCAGAGGCCAUGUGUUCUGGUUGAGGGAGACAUGCUGGCCGAGCAGCAGGCCAAGCCCAAGGGCUGUUCUGAGCUGCCGUUGCCCCUCCCAGCUGCUCUUCAGUCCCGCGGGCAUGGCCCCCUGGGGCGGGCGCUCACCGAGACCAUCCUGCCCUCGGAGGGCAUGAAGGCCGGCCGGUUGCUGAGGCGCAGCUUGGUCUGCAGCGUGUUGAAGUUGAUCUCCAGCUGGCACUUCUCUUGCACCUUGGGCGGCUUGUGCACGCGCCGGUAGUCGCGGAAAUCCUCCAGCUUCUGCUGCAUCUCCUGGAUGGUCUUCUGGGGCACCCGGUCCUCUAGCCAGGGAAUGGUGCGCCGGAUCCACUCCAGGAGCUGCGGGCCCACAAGAAGCCGUGGUGACCCUUGCAGAGGGCAGAGUGCCCACAGCCUGCCCCCAGCUAUGGAGCAUGGGACCUGGACCACUGUGGGCCUGCCCCCAGGGCUUCCCCUCCUCCCUAGCCUGGCUCUCCCGUGAGUCCUGUUGGGACCCCACAGCACAGGAUUCUGGGAACAAGGCCUCCUGGGAACCCCCGUGCUGCUCUUGGCUGUACCUCUUGCCUCUUUCCCAGGUCUACGUGGGCAGCUCAGCAAACACCCCUCCUCAGAAGCCCCCUCCUCGCUGUCAGGUGACCCACUAUCCCUGGCUUCCCUGAGCUUAUCUAAGAGCCUCUCUGCCUGGUUCAGGGAUGGUAAAUGUCACAAGGGCAGGGGUCCACAAGGGAGCAUGGCCUGGGACCCAAAACACAUCAGAAAAUUGAAAAAGAAAGUAACGUGUAUUCCUAGCAGCUACUCUGAUCUUUCUAGGACAAUUCUAGGAAGGUAAAGCCAGUUACUGUCUAUCGGAGAGCACUUGGGCAAGUGGCUCCAAACGCCAACCCCAGCCAAGUGAGGGGGCCGAGGACAGAGGCGUCUGCCUGAGAGUGCACCUUGACGCUCGGGCAGGGUCCCUCGCAGGCAAUGGCGGGGGACCCAGAAGCCCCGCUCUUUGCCCUGCCUGGUGUUGGGAAGGACGGCUGCAGCACUGGGGAUGGGGCACAGGCUCGUGCGUGGCAGGCAAGAGCUCAAGCACCGAGCCUCACCCCGGUUUUGCUUUUGUAAAAUGUGUAGGCAGAAUAAAAAGUUGGCCGCCCUAGA